GCCACCAUAGCUCAGCCGGUAGAGCAGCCGCCUUGUAAGCGGCAGGUCGGGAGUUCGAUUCUCCCUGGUGGCU
Molecule: transfer RNA, 73 nt
Filed under: Methanobacteriota archaeon
Lineage: Archaea; Methanobacteriati; Methanobacteriota
Description: Euryarchaeota archaeon (sediment metagenome) tRNA-Thr
Rfam family: tRNA
About the family: Transfer RNA (tRNA) molecules are approximately 80 nucleotides in length.
Source: RNAcentral